This 1100-nucleotide ribosomal RNA is filed under the name uncultured bacterium. RNAcentral's name for it is "bacterial SSU rRNA". It matches the Rfam family "Bacterial small subunit ribosomal RNA", at positions 83 to 1163 of the family's 1533-position model. The record is from RNAcentral.
CCUUCGCCGUUAGCGGCGAACGGGUGAGUAACAGAGGGCAACAAUGCCCCAAGCUCUGGGAUAACCUCCGGAAACGGGGACUAAUACCGGAUAUGACUCUUGAAGACAUCUUCUUGAGUGGAAAGUUUUUCGGCUUGGGAUGGGCCCGCGGCCUAUCAGCUUGUUGGUGGGGUAACGGCCUACCAAGGCGACGACGGGUAGCCGGCCUGAGAGGGCGACCGGCCACACUGGGACUGAGACACGGCCCAGACUCCUACGGGAGGCAGCAGUGGGGAAUAUUGCGCAAUGGGCGAAAGCCUGACGCAGCGACGCCGCGUGAGGGAUGAAGGCCUUCGGGUUGUAAACCUCUUUCAGCAGGGACGAAGCGAAAGUGACGGUACCUGCUUUUUAAGCACCGGCCAACUACGUGCCAGCAGCCGCGGUAAUACGUAGGGUGCAAGCGGUUGUCCGGGAAAUUAUUGGGCGUAAAGAGCUCGUAGGCGGUCUGUAGCGUCGGAUGUGAAAAAUCAGGGGCUCAACCCUGAGCCCUGCAGUAGAUACGGGCAGACUAGAGUCCGGCAGGGGAGACUGGAAUUCCCUGGGUGUAGCGGUGAAAUGCGCAGAUAUCAGGAGGAACACCGGUGGCGAAGGCGGGUCUCUGGGCCGGAACUGACGCUGAGGAAGCGAAAGCGUGGGGAGCGAACAAGGAAUAGAUACCCUGGUAGUCCACGCUCGUAAACGUUGGGCUUUUUUUUUAUUGGGGACCUUCCACGUCCUCCGUGCCGCCAGCUUAAAACGCAUUAAGCCGCCCCGCCUGGGGGAGUACGGCCGCAAGGCUAAAACUCAAAGGAAUUGACAGGGGGCCCGCCACAAGCGGCGGAGCAUGUGGCUUAAUUUCCGACGCAACGCGAAGAACCUUACACAGGGUUUUGACAUGUAUGGGGAAAUACCUCAAUAGAGAUAUGUUAAGGUCCGCAAGGGUCCUGCACAGGUGGUGCAUGGCUGUCGUCAGCUCGUGUCGUGAGAUGUUGGGGUAAAGUCCCCGCAACGAGCGCAACCCUCGUUCUAUUGUGGCCACCAGGUAAUGGCUGAGCACUCAUAGGAGACUGCCGGGGUCAACU